GCAGGCCCACUUGCAUCUGCUGUGAGGUGAUGUAGUCGUUGAGGAUCGUCUGCCGCGUGUUCUCCAUCGCAUAGAGCUGAUACUGACUGGGGUAACCUGGAGUUGGUGACAGCUGUCUCUGGAACAGGCAGCAGCAGGAUCUGGCCAGAGGCUGUAGCUGUUCUAACCCUAGGUUAGAGCGUGACACAGAUGCUAGGAAGCUGGAGGUGUGGUAAAUGAGCAGAACACACACAAGGAACUUAGUGCUGUAUGUCAAUUCUAUCCCAAUAAAACUGGAAGAAAUAAAAGAAGAUAAUGCCUCUAUCCUCAAAACACUGAUCAUCCAGCUCAAGCUCAACAAUGGCAAGCAAGUGAAAUAAAGGACUAUGAUAAACACUACAUAAAAGUAAAAACAUGUGCUUCUGUCUGAGAGCUUGAAGGAACUAUCAUAUAUAUAUAUAUAUAUGUUCUCCCUAGAAGAACAAACGACAAGCUUUCGGGAGUGUCUGCGUCCCCUUCCUCUAGAACUCCCAGCUGAAUCUGUCAGCUGACUGUGUGAGUGGGAACUUCUGCCUUGGUUCUGGAGACAGGCCCUGAAGAACCCGGUGUGGGCUCCUCUGAAACUGAACGUUCUCAAGCGACAACGUGAUGGUACUGACAUCAUCACAGCCCAGCAAAAACUCUGCACCAACCUGCUGAUGGGACUCCUUUCACUGUGCAGAGUCCACUGCCCGGUGCCCCUAGCAUCACCGUGCCCAGUGCAGGCUGCUCUCUAGAAAACCUACAUGCUUCUACACUGACCAAAGCCAUGUUUACUCAAAGUCAGUGGUGUCUGUUCAAAAGUUCCUUCCAGCUGUACUUGUUACUGUAAUUGUGUAACUUAAUGAAAAACUCUGUAAAUCUAUGAGAGAAGAACAAAAAAAGUGGUUUCUCCAGAAACUAAGUUGACUGCUUUGGAAAGACUCAAUAUAGAAGCUGAAUUAGGUAUAGACUAGAUAAUUUUAAAAGACUGGGAAAAAAUCUAGAAGGAUUCUGUAUUUAGAUUGCUUUUAAGUGUCUUUAAAUUCUAACUUCACUUAAAAAACCAAACCUGGAGAUGUAUCAUUUAUACAAGAAAGACAGUAGUGAGGUUUAAUCAGUGGCCCCUGACCUGAGAUCAGAACACUGGUGAAUGCAUGUCUCUGCUGUAAAUUGAAACAUAUAACGUAUGCAUGUGUCAUUUAAAAACAGUUCUUCACAUUAACCCACUUUUCCAAUCAGCUUAACCAAAUGCCAUCAGACAAGAGAGCUUUCCACAUACCUAGUAUUUUUAGCUCUUUCAGGGGUGCUGGUAAUAUUUUGUGUCUUGAUCUGAGACCUGGUUACAUGGGGUGCAUAGUUUGUGAAAAUUCACUGAACUAUAUACACUAAUGACCCAUGCAACUGUCUGUGGACUGUACCUUAAUAAACAGAAAGUCUAGAAAGCCA
Molecule: long non-coding RNA, 1446 nt
Organism: Aethalodelphis obliquidens (Pacific white-sided dolphin)
Lineage: Eukaryota; Metazoa; Chordata; Mammalia; Artiodactyla; Delphinidae
Exons: 2
Source: RefSeq, a predicted model, not a curated record